UACGUAGGGUGCAAGCGUUUGUCCGGAUUUAUUGGGCGUAAAGAGCUCGUAGGCGGCUUGUUACGUCGGCUGUGAAAACCCGCGGCUCAACCGCGGGCCUGCAGCCGAUACGGGCAGGCUAGAGUUCGGUAGGGGAGACUGGAAUUCCUGGUGUAGCGGUGAAAUGCGCAGAUAUCAGGAGGAACACCGGUGGCGAAGGCGGGUCUCUGGGCCGAUACUGACGCUGAGGAGCGAAAGCGUGGGGAGCGAACAGG
RNAcentral lists this ribosomal RNA (254 nucleotides) under uncultured bacterium. RNAcentral's name for it is "partial 16S ribosomal RNA". It matches the Rfam family "Bacterial small subunit ribosomal RNA", at positions 524 to 776 of the family's 1533-position model. The record is from RNAcentral.